CCCGGCGAAAGUCGGAUUAACACCGCAUGACAUUAUUGAUGUGGCAUCACAUUAUAAUCAAAUAUUUAUAGGACAGAGAUGGGCUCGCGUGACAUUAGCUAGUUGGAGAGGUAACGGCUCACCAAGGCAACGAUGUCUAGGGGCUCUGAGAGGAGAAUCCCCCACACUGGUACUGAGACACGGACCAGACUCCUACGGGAGGCAGCAGUAAGGAAUAUUGGUCAAUGGAGGGAACUCUGAACCAGCCAUGCCGCGUGCAGGAUGACUGCCCUAUGGGUUGUAAACUGCUUUUGUCGGGGAAUAAACCUACGUUUGUAAACGUAGCUGAAUGUACCCGAAGAAUAAGGAUCGGCUAACUCCGUGCCAGCAGCCGCGGUAAUACGGAGGAUCCAAGCGUUAUCCGGAUUUAUUGGGUUUAAAGGGUGCGUAGGCGGUUCUUUAAGUCAGAGGUGAAAGACGGCAGCUUAACUGUCGCAGUGCCUUUGAUACUGAAGAACUUGAAUUAGGUUGAGGAAUGCGGAAUGAGACAAGUAGCGGUGAAAUGCAUAGAUAUGUCUCAGAACCCCGAUUGCGAAGGCAGCAUUCCAAGCCUUUAUUGACGCUGAUGCACGAAAGCGUGGGGAUCGAACAGGAUUAGAUACCCUGGUAGUCCACGCCCUAAACGAUGAUAACUCGAUGUUGGCGAUAGACAGUCAGCGUCCCAGCGAAAGCGUUAAGUUAUCCACCUGGGGAGUACGCCCGCAAGGGUGAAACUCAAAGGAAUUGACGGGGGCCCGCACAAGCGGAGGAGCAUGUGGUUUAAUUCGAUGAUACGCGAGGAACCUUACCCGGGCUUGAAAGUUAGUGAAUGAUCCAGAGACGGAUCAGUCCUUCGGGACACGAAACUAGGUGCUGCAUGGCUGUCGUCAGCUCGUGCCGUGAGGUGUUGGGUUAAGUCCCGCAACGAGCGCAACCCCUAUGUUUAGUUGCCAGCAUGUAAUGAUGGGGACUCUAAACAGACUGCCUGCGCAAGCAGAGAGGAAGGUGGGGACGACGUCAAGUCAUCAUGGCCCUUACGUCCGGGGCUACACACGUGCUACAAUGGUCGGUACAGCGGGCAGCUACACAGUAAUGUGAUGCCAAUCUCUGAAAGCCGA
RNAcentral lists this ribosomal RNA (1136 nucleotides) under Sphingobacterium spiritivorum. RNAcentral describes it as "bacterial SSU rRNA". It matches the Rfam family "Bacterial small subunit ribosomal RNA", at positions 147 to 1285 of the family's 1533-position model. Lineage: Bacteria; Pseudomonadati; Bacteroidota; Sphingobacteriia; Sphingobacteriales; Sphingobacteriaceae. The record is from RNAcentral.